ACACGUAGGGGGCAAGCGUUGUUCGGAAUUAUUGGGCGUAAAGGGCAUGUAGGCGGUUUCGUAAGCCUGGUGUGAAAUCCUGCAGCUUAACUGCAGAAUUGCAUUGGGUACUGCGAGACUUGAAUCACAGAGGGGAAACUAGAAUUCCAGGUGUAGGGGUGGAAUCUGUAGAUAUCUGGAAGAAUACCGGUGGCGAAGGCGGGUUUCUAGCUGAUGAUUGACGCUGAGGUGCGAAAGUGCGGGGAGCAAACAGGAUUAGAUACCCUGGUAGUCCGCACCGUAAACUAUGUACACUAGGUGUAGGGGCAUGAGUCUCUGUGCCGAAGCUAACGUGAUAAGUGUACCGCCUGGGAAGUAUGCCCGCAAGGGUGAA
RNAcentral lists this ribosomal RNA (373 nucleotides) under uncultured bacterium. Its description in RNAcentral is "bacterial SSU rRNA". It matches the Rfam family "Bacterial small subunit ribosomal RNA", at positions 523 to 898 of the family's 1533-position model. The record is from RNAcentral.